Molecule: ribosomal RNA, 301 nt
Filed under: uncultured bacterium
Lineage: Bacteria
Description: partial 16S ribosomal RNA
Rfam family: Bacterial small subunit ribosomal RNA
Source: RNAcentral
CAGCAGCCACGGGAAUACGUAGGGUGCAAGCGUUAUCCGGAAUUAUUGGGCGUAAAGAGCUCGUAGGCGGUUUGUCGCGUCUGCUGUGAAAACUGGAGGCUCAACCUCCAGCCUGCAGUGGGUACGGGCAAACUAGAGUGCGGUAGGGGAGAUUGGAAUUCCUGGUGUAGCGGUGGAAUGCGCAGAUAUCAGGAGGAACACCGAUGGCGAAGGCAGAUCUCUGGGCCGUAACUGACGCUGAGGAGCGAAAGCAUGGGGAGCGAACAGGAUUAGAACCCCCGUAGUCCCUGUCUCUUAUACA